CAUGAUUACGCAAAGCACUGAUAGACGUUCGCUACUGAACAGGCAAUUGAGUGGACAUCUAGUGGCUCUCUGGAAAACUGGUCAUCCAAGAGCAAUGGCAUUACUUGUGAGAAUAAUCCUGCUGGUUUGCUCUAUUACCUUGAAAGCCCUGACGAG
This 156-nucleotide long non-coding RNA is filed under the name Dendronephthya gigantea. Its description in RNAcentral is "uncharacterized LOC114544897". The record is from RNAcentral. Lineage: Eukaryota; Metazoa; Cnidaria; Anthozoa; Malacalcyonacea; Nephtheidae.